AAGUCGUAACAAGGUUUCCGUAGGUGAACCUGCGGAAGGAUCAUUACUGAGUUAGGGUCUUCCAGGCCCGAUCUCCAACCCUUUGUGUAACUACCAUGUUGCUUUGGCGGGCCCGUUUUUCACCGGACCGCCGGGGGUCUUCGACCUCUGGCCAGCGCCCGUCAGUAGCCCUUAACAAACUCUUUUAACCAUGUUAAAUCUGAAAAUAGUUAAAUAAACUAAAACUUUCAACAACGGAUCUCUUGGUUCUG
This 251-nucleotide unclassified non-coding RNA is filed under the name Herpotrichiellaceae sp. RNAcentral's name for it is "partial contains small subunit ribosomal RNA, internal transcribed spacer 1, and 5.8S ribosomal RNA". The stretch from base 1 to 46 matches the Rfam family "Eukaryotic small subunit ribosomal RNA", at positions 1786 to 1831 of the family's 1831-position model. The record is from RNAcentral. Lineage: Eukaryota; Fungi; Ascomycota; Eurotiomycetes; Chaetothyriales; Herpotrichiellaceae.